AAAGGGCCGCAGCUAUUUUGACUGCUGCAAAGGUAGCAUAAUCAUUAGCCUUUUAAUUGAAAGCUAGAAUGAAUGGCGUGGACGAGAAAUAAGCUGUCUCUAACUUUAAAUAAAUUGAAAUUUACUUUUAAGUGAAAAGGCUUAAAUAAAUUUAAGGGACGAUAAGACCCUAUAAAUCUUUAUUAUUUUAUUGGGGUGAUAUAAAUAUAAUAAAUUAACUAUUCUACUUUAACUACAAUAAUUUUUGAUUUUAAAGAUCCUUUUUUAAGAUUUUAAGAUUAAGUUACUUUAGGGAUAACAGCGUUAUUUUUUUUGAGAGUUCUUAUUAAAAAAAAAGUUUGCGACCUCGAUGUUGAAUUAAAAUAUCCUUAUGGUGCAGAAGUUAUAAAGGAAAGUCUGUUCGACUUUUAAAAUUUUACGUGAUCUGAG
This 429-nucleotide ribosomal RNA is filed under the name Gastroptychus novaezelandiae. Its description in RNAcentral is "partial 16S ribosomal RNA". It matches the Rfam family "Bacterial large subunit ribosomal RNA", at positions 1925 to 2609 of the family's 2925-position model. Lineage: Eukaryota; Metazoa; Arthropoda; Malacostraca; Decapoda; Chirostylidae. The record is from RNAcentral.